RNAcentral lists this ribosomal RNA (201 nucleotides) under uncultured bacterium. RNAcentral describes it as "partial 16S ribosomal RNA". It matches the Rfam family "Bacterial small subunit ribosomal RNA", at positions 326 to 539 of the family's 1533-position model. The record is from RNAcentral.
ACGCUCGACACCUACGGGAUGCAGCAGUGGGGAAUAUUGGGCAAUGGGCGCAAGCCUGACCCAGCAACGCCGCGUGAAGGAAGAAGGCCCUCGGGUUGUAAACUUCUUUUGACAGGGACGAAACAAAUGACGGUACCUGUCGAAUAAGCCACGGCUAACUACGUACCAGCAGCCGCGGUAAUCUGAGCGGGCUGGCAAGGC